GCGGGACCCCAACUCCAGACCGGGCGGGGUGACUCGGCAGCCCCGAGGUCUGAAGGACUGGAAGAGCGAUCGGGUCCCGGAUGUGUGGUUAAAGAGCACCACAUUCACCCCGAAAGACUGGAGGUUUGCAGACCGGCAGGAGGCCCCUGGGGCCGGGCGUGGUCUCUGGACUAUUUUAAUGGGCCUUUAUGUCAGUCAUCCUCUGUGGGUACUUUUAGUUCUGCUGAAGAAUUUACAAAGUGUUUUCUACGGCAAGAGUUCUUAAAAAGGAAUGGUCACUUCUGCACCUUAGAAGUGCUGCCGAAGCCCUGCAGGGACAAUGACAGUAAAACCUUGGUCUGCCGGCAUACUUCCUUCCGGAAACAGGCUUGUAAUCCAAACCCCUUGUAUAUCAAAGCAAAUUUCCCCAUAGGAUAUAAUGGAAACCCAGGUGAUUCGUUCCACAGCCCAAAAUACUCAUAUGGGGAUGAUUACAAUACUGUAAUAUAAUGUAAAAUAAUAAGGGAAUAAAGAAAAGUAAACACAUUAACCUGCACUUGCCUUUGGAAACUUGCCUGGCCGGUGUGAGGGAGACGGGAGGAGGGUUAUUGUGUAGGACUUUCGAAGUCACCAGCUCACUAAUGGAAUCCCUGCUGUCUAUUGGCUGAAUGGAAGCUUUUCCUUUUCAUGCAACUUUAACAAGAAGCCUGUCCAAUGACACUGGCUUUUGCCUCCUUUUGAGGAUUUCGUGGAAAUGUGACAUUGCCUUGUCAUUAAAUUCAUUGCUUACGUGGCUACAGCCUCUUGGGGUGGUGCUUUUCUGUAAAAUUUUGCAUUGUUUCUCACCUUUUACACAUCUCCCUAAAAUCAUUUGAAGUGAGGCAUUUCUCUACUUUUUUCUCCUCUACCUCUGCAGAUGAGUUCUCCUUAACCUCUGGCUGUUGGGAGAGAGAGAGAGAGAGGGAGGGAGGGAGAGAGAGAGAGGUGACAUUAGGUGUCACCUACCACUCCUAUUGCAAGACAUUGCUCAUAAAUCAAGAUAAAAUGUAAUGUUUACUCAUCUUGCAGAACAUUAACAGAACAAGUUACUCACAGUCCCAGGUUUUGCUGUUCUCUUGUACCUGACCGUUGGCCUAAAGAUUUCACCUGCAAAUGGGCAGAGUGCAAAUCUUACAUAACUUCAUCACUCCAUGGGGGUGGGGCUUGAUGUUGGCCACGUAGAUCUGGGUGAUAGUGUGAGUGGGG
This 1224-nucleotide long non-coding RNA is filed under the name Heterocephalus glaber (naked mole-rat). Its description in RNAcentral is "lncRNA (ENSHGLG00100038713.1)". Lineage: Eukaryota; Metazoa; Chordata; Mammalia; Rodentia; Bathyergidae. The record is from RNAcentral.